This is a long non-coding RNA of Quercus robur (English oak), 2257 nucleotides long. RefSeq lists it as uncharacterized. The transcript has 2 exons. The record is from RefSeq and is a predicted model, not a curated record. NCBI's taxonomy places the organism in Eukaryota, Viridiplantae, Streptophyta, Magnoliopsida, Fagales, Fagaceae.
AAAAAAAAAACACAAAAAAAACACAAAAAAAAUCUUUUCCAAAACCCGAUAAAUACAAAACCAGCCUUCUUCUUCCUCAAAACACAGACCCCUGACGUUCCUAUCUCUUCUCUAUUUCUCUACCCUCUUCUUCCCCAAAACCCAACACUGAAAAUCAAUCUUGCCAAGAAGCCAUCCCCACACUGUCAAGUCCGAAAUAGAAAGAAGGCAUCACUGAUCUCCACCUUUGAGCACUGACGACAUCUUGAGACUUUACCAUCAGACCAGAUCCUCUCUGCAAACAUUACUGGACACAGUCUUUGAUCCAUAUUCCCUCACUUGUGGCCGUAUAUUUUGCUACAUGUGUGCUUGCUCAUCUGCAUCAGUGUCAAUUGUUGAUAAGUUAAAGUCAGCAGAGCCUAAAGGAAAAUGCCCUCUGUGCCGAGAGGUAAGUUAAUAUCUUUAUAGCCUUUGCUUCUUGGUUCAUUCCAGUGACAAAACGGUGGGGUUGGAUUGGGGUAGGUCCUAAAUUCAAGCUUUGCAAACCAAAGUAUCUUGCUAUUGUUGGACUCAGAUAGGUCUUUCUUUUAUUGGACUCAAAUAAUACCAUAUUCUCUCUGAUUCAUCAAUUUAGAACCAAAAAAGGAAAAAAAAAAUAGAGAAAAAAUAAUGGAUUUGUCGUAAUUUGAGCUAUUUUAUGUUUUAGAGACUAUAUAUGUCUUUACUUCGAACAUAGUGAAAUAAUGGAUUUGAUAAACAAUUCAAUAAGGUGAUUUGCAUUAUGAUGGAAAUGUGCAAUUCUAUGUUAAGUAUAGUUUUUCAUUUUUUUUUUUUUUUUUUUAUAUUUUCCCUAUUUACAUGUAUUGUGGCUUGCUUCCAACAAUUUUAUUUUUUGAUUGUAAAUCAUUAGAAAGCAAAAUAAAUGUGUUUCAUUUAUUUUCUCUGUGUAUUUUAUUCACAUAUUUCAAUUAGGUAGUCGAAAGUAAUUUGGCUGGUAAAAAGUAUUGUUCUUUAUUGCCAAAUGUUUGUUUGAAUUGGAAGCCUUACAGAACAAUUUUCAUGAACAAGGAACCCUCAUUUGUUUGGUAUAUUUUAUGUUUAGUUGGCCUUUGGUGUUAUUAUCAGUUACAUAUGGCUUGGUCUUAAUGAAAGAUUAUUUUAAGGCAAAGUAAGUGGGGUUUCUGUAUUGCUAUUUAUCUCUGAGUUGAGGACUUCUUUCAUUGUAAUUUUGGAUGGUUCUUGCUUUAUGUUGAACGAAAUUUCUUCAAUUUGCUGCAAACCUUGAUGGGUAUUGCUUAAUAAAAAGUUAUUUGUCUCAUAUAUGUGGUCAACUGCAACUAUCAUGGCCAUUGCUCUUGCACAUGGAGGGGUAAGUCCAUAUGACUUCAAUUUUAAUUUUUCUUUAAGCUUGAACAUUUUUUUAUUGACAUUGCUUCUUUUUUUGCUAUUGUAACAUUGUCAUUUUGUAGAACUUUUAGAAGUCAACAUGAAUGAUUAUCGUUAGGUUUUGAAUCAAUAGUUCUGAAUUUGUUGAUGAAAUUUCACACCAUGAAAUUUCUAUCCAAAAAACUGUAUGUUUUAGUUUUACCUAAGAAUGUUAUGAUAUUCUUUUUCAUUUCCAUCAAAUUUGAUAAUAGUUUUCCCUCUCAUCGUAUCUUGAAUCUCCAGGAGAAUAUAUCUCUUUCCAAUUUACAAUAGAUUAUAAUAUACAGGAUUUAGAGAAUGUAUAACAACUCCUUUAUUGCAGCUUAUGAAUUUUAAGGAGAAAGAUGGCUUUUCAUUUUGAUUGCUGAUGAACUGGACUAAUUAUACUACUCAUCAGCGGCAUGGAAUCUUUCAGGUUAAUUUUUACUUUGGAAUAUUUAUUCUGUUUAUUCUCCUUUUAACAAAAAGGAAUAUCACACCGAUGUUUCCCCUUUUUUGAUUGAGAGAGUUUAGCUUAAGGUUGUCUAACUUUUAUUCUUUUGAUAGUUAAGGUGAAAAGGGUUGCAUUGGUGAGUUUCUUUUGUAUUUCUCUUACCUUUCAAAGGGCACAAGACUAAGGAUGUAUACUUUUAUAAUGCCUGGUCUACAUGAGAUGGAGUUUCUACUAAUGAACAAUUAGAUGCUUGUAGUGCACACAAGACUGAGACAGGGCUAAUGAAUAACAUUAUGUAAUAACAUUAUAACCUUAGUUCACCAAGUUCAAGGUCCUUAAUGAUUUUCUUUUAAUAUGUUUUUUAUUUAUUUAUUUAAAUGGAUGUAGUUUAUAUAAAGAUAUGUUAAGCAUUCUUGUGUU